UGCGUCAGCGAUUAGGCAUGUUGCAGAACCAAAACUGCGAAAGUGACAAAGUACUUCAUAGAAGCACUUAGUUGCGUUAGGUGUGGCGAAAGCCUGCAAAGUACAUAGGGUAAAAAAAUUUGGGUAGAAGCCGAUGGAGACGCAACCUCUAUCGGCUUUCU
Molecule: small RNA, 161 nt
Filed under: Blautia sp. An249
Lineage: Bacteria; Bacillati; Bacillota; Clostridia; Lachnospirales; Lachnospiraceae
Description: FuFi-1 RNA
Rfam family: FuFi-1 RNA
Source: Rfam by way of RNAcentral